UACGUAGGGUGCGAGCGUUUAAUCGGAAUUACUGGGCGUAAAGCGUGCGCAGGCGGUUUUGUAAGCCAGAUGUGAAAUCCCCGGGCUUAACCUGGGAAUGGCAUUUGGGACUGCAAGGCUGGAGUGUGGCAGAGGAGACUGGAAUUCCUGGUGUAGCAGUGAAAUGCGUAGAUAUCAGGAGGAAUACCGAUGGCGAAGGCAGGUCUCUGGGCUGACACUGACGCUCAUGCACGAAAGCGUGGGGAGCAAACAGG
RNAcentral lists this ribosomal RNA (254 nucleotides) under uncultured bacterium. RNAcentral describes it as "partial 16S ribosomal RNA". It matches the Rfam family "Bacterial small subunit ribosomal RNA", at positions 524 to 776 of the family's 1533-position model. The record is from RNAcentral.